UGGCAGACGGGUGAGUAACGCGUGGGAAUUUACCUAGUGGUACGGAAUAACCCAGGGAAACUUGGACUAAUACCGUAUACGCCCUUCGGGGGAAAGAUUCAUCGCCAUUAGAUGAGCCCGCGUUAGAUUAGCUUGUUGGUGAGGUAAAGGCUCACCAAGGCUACGAUCUAUAGCUGGUCUGAGAGGAUGAUCAGCCACACUGGGACUGAGACACGGCCCAGACUCCUACGGGAGGCAGCAGUGGGGAAUAUUGCACAAUGGGCGCAAGCCUGAUGCAGCCAUGCCGCGUGAGUGAUGAAGGCCCUAGGGUUGUAAAGCUCUUUCAUCGGUGAAGAUAAUGACGGUAGCCGAAGAAGAAGCCCCGGCUAACUCCGUGCCAGCAGCCGCGGUAAU
This 393-nucleotide ribosomal RNA is filed under the name uncultured bacterium. RNAcentral's name for it is "bacterial SSU rRNA". It matches the Rfam family "Bacterial small subunit ribosomal RNA", at positions 96 to 524 of the family's 1533-position model. The record is from RNAcentral.